AUGAAGCUGUUUGAUAACAGGGUCCUCGGGGACUUCCAGGUGUGCCAGGAGCUAACGGAUCACCAGGACUGCCUGGCCAGCUUGGUCCACAUGGACUACCAGGAAUAUCUGUCAAGGGAGAUCCUGGUCCACCAGGAGCAAAAGGUUUACGUGGGAAACAAGGCUACAAAGGAGACAAGGGGGAGACAGGCAGAGAUGGUACUGCAGGUUUACCUGGUCCCAUUGGCAUUGAUGGUGGGCCUGGCUAUCCAGGACAGAAAGGAGAGAAGGGAGAAGAUGGCAUCGGCUUGCAAGGUGUACAAGGAGCUCGUGGAGAGCCAGGACAGAAGGGCAGUAGUGGCCUAAUGGGACCAGUGGGCCCAAAGGGUGAGCGUGGAGAGCAGGGCAUCCAGGGACUCAUCGGACUUCGGGU
This 412-nucleotide long non-coding RNA is filed under the name Gouania willdenowi (blunt-snouted clingfish). Its description in RNAcentral is "lncRNA (ENSGWIG00000012301.1)". The record is from RNAcentral. Lineage: Eukaryota; Metazoa; Chordata; Actinopteri; Blenniiformes; Gobiesocidae.